CAGAGUGGUAGUUGGUUCGUUAGGGUCGGCAGGCUCUAUGCUCGUGCAUCGAACUGUUGCCCUCCGAUACUCUUUCAUGGACAGCCCAAGGCUUCGUUUGCCUUGUGGCGGAGCUCGGUUCCUGUGUUGCAUACCCAUUAUGGUGGAAUUGUUCCUGUUCGGCUGUGUUUUCCUUCCCCGUCGUCCUUUGGCGAUACGGGAGGACCAUGUGGCGGCGCAGGUGUCCCACGCACAUCGCCUCGGGCGAUUGCGGUGGUGCAUCUGCUGUCGCUCGUGAUUUCGGAUGCGGAGUGUUGUGAUUUGCAAGAGGAGCUCACCGGCCCUCUGUAGACCCAAAGCGAGCAUCCCUCGGUUGCUCGGUAAGCAUGACGACCGCACGCGAGGUGGCUCUCCGGGCUGCCGCACGCUGCGGUGUCACGAAAGAUUGCUACCUGGUUGAUCCUGCCAGUAGUCAUAUGCUUGUCUCAAAGAUUAAGCCAUGCAUGUGUAAGUAUGAACUAAUUCAAACUGUGAAACUGC
This 519-nucleotide unclassified non-coding RNA is filed under the name Pigea aurantiaca. RNAcentral describes it as "Hybanthus aurantiacus partial contains external transcribed spacer and 18S ribosomal RNA". The stretch from base 429 to 519 matches the Rfam family "Eukaryotic small subunit ribosomal RNA", at positions 1 to 90 of the family's 1831-position model. Lineage: Eukaryota; Viridiplantae; Streptophyta; Magnoliopsida; Malpighiales; Violaceae. The record is from RNAcentral.